Molecule: long non-coding RNA, 887 nt
Filed under: Scophthalmus maximus (turbot)
Lineage: Eukaryota; Metazoa; Chordata; Actinopteri; Pleuronectiformes; Scophthalmidae
Description: lncRNA (ENSSMAG00000027357.1)
Source: RNAcentral
AAUGUGGUGUCUGAGGAGGUUCCCACAAAGCAAAAGGCCUCAACCUGGGAAAGAGUCCAACACUUUCUGGGAUGGAGGAAACCACAGAGAUGGGAGAAGCCAAAGGACCCUGCACCCAGCAGCACCUCAUACCAAGAGGACAUCCAAAGGAUGAGGUGUCUGAGGAAAUUCCUAUGAAGCAAAGGGAAAGAGACCAACACUUUCACGAGCUGAAUAAACCACAGAUAUGGGAGAAGCCAAAGUACCCUGCAUCCAGAAGCACCUCAUACCAAGAGGACAGCCAAAGCUUUGGAGCUGAUAGGCUUCCCAUUAGACAGCAGGUUGACAACCUGCCCUCGAUGAUGUGCCAACCCUGUGGGUUUUCUACCUCCCCAGCCACUGCAGGACAACUGACCAGUAAUGUGCAGGAUGUCCCUGAUAAGUCCUCUUUUACACGCAGCAGUCCGUGCCUGGAGAUGGUGGUAAAUGGGGUAAAAAUCCCAUUUGUGCUGGAUACAGGUGCUAAAGUAACUCUUCUUAGCCAUUCCCUUUUUCUAAAAAGCUUUAGCGAUAUUCAAAUGAGAGACACAACUGAAAUACCCUGGCUCAAAAUUAGAGGAGGCAAUGGGCUCCGUUUCCCAUUCAAAGGGUAUCUAGAGCUAGAUUUUCAGGCUGGAGACAUUGAAAUUAUGGGGAAAGGAGUCUUGAUAGUUAAGGAUGACUACUUUGGAACCCAAUAUGGAUUGCUGGGGACGAAUGUCAUAUCAGAAAUCUGGAAGUCUGUUGCUAGUUUUGACAACUUGAGUCUGAGCUUGACAAGCUGCAAGAUGCUCUCACUGAUCCCAAACCUAAAACUGGUAGGUUUUCCACGUCCCCGGCCACUGCAGGCCGACUAUCCGGUGAUGUAA